CCUACGGGAGGCUGCAGUGAGGAAUAUUGGUCAAUGGACGAGAGUCUGAACCAGCCAAGUAGCGUGAAGGAUGACUGCCCUAUGGGUUGUAAACUUCUUUUAUAUGGGAAUAAAAUGUUCCACGUGUGGGAUUUUGUAUGUACCAUAUGAAUAAGGAUCGGCUAACUCCGUGCCAGCAGCCGCGGUAAUACGGAGGAUCCGAGCGUUAUCCGGAUAUAUUGGGUUUAAAGGGAGCGUAGGUGGAUUGUUAAGUAAGUUGUGAAAGUUUGCGGCAAAACCGUAAAAUUGCAGUUGAAAGUGGCAGUCUUGAGUACAGUAGAGGUGGGGGGAAUUCGGGGUGUAGCUGUGAAAUGCUUAGAU
RNAcentral lists this ribosomal RNA (360 nucleotides) under uncultured bacterium. RNAcentral describes it as "partial 16S ribosomal RNA". It matches the Rfam family "Bacterial small subunit ribosomal RNA", at positions 338 to 695 of the family's 1533-position model. The record is from RNAcentral.